AGUGAACGCUGGCGGUAGGCCUAACACAUGCAAGUCGAACGGCAGCACAGUAAGAGCUUGCUCUUACGGGUGGCGAGUGGCGGACGGGUGAGGAAUACAUCGGAAUCUACUUUUUCGUGGGGGAUAACGUAGGGAAACUUACUCUAAUACCGCAUACGACCUACGGUUGAAAGCAGGGGAUCUUCGGACCUUGCGCGAUUGAAUGAGCCGAUGUCGGAUUAGCUAGUUGGCGGGGUAAAGGCCCACCCAGGCGACGAUCCGUAGCUGGUCUGAGAGGAUGAUCGGCCACACUGGAACUGAGACAGGGACCAGACUCCUAAGGGAGGCAGCAGAGGGGAAUAUUAGACAAUGGGCGCAAGCCUGAUCCAGCGAUACCGCGUGGGUGAAGAAGGCCUUCGGGGUGUAAAGCACUUUUGUUGGGAAAGAAAAGCAGCAGGUUAAUACCCCGCUGUUCUGACGGUACCCAAAGAAUAAGCACCGGCUAACUUCGUG
RNAcentral lists this ribosomal RNA (492 nucleotides) under uncultured bacterium. RNAcentral's name for it is "partial 16S ribosomal RNA". It matches the Rfam family "Bacterial small subunit ribosomal RNA", at positions 29 to 507 of the family's 1533-position model. The record is from RNAcentral.